GGAUUAGUGGCGAACGGGUGAGUAACACGUGGGCAAUCUGCCCUUCACUCUGGGACAAGCCCUGGAAACGGGGUCUAAUACCGGAUAACACUCUGUCCCGCAUGGGACGGGGUUAAAAGCUCCGGCGGUGAAGGAUGAGCCCGCGGCCUAUCAGCUUGUUGGUGGGGUAAUGGCCUACCAAGGCGACGACGGGUAGCCGGCCUGAGAGGGCGACCGGCCACACUGGGACUGAGACACGGCCCAGACUCCUACGGGAGGCAGCAGUGGGGAAUAUUGCACAAUGGGCGAAAGCCUGAUGCAGCGACGCCGCGUGAGGGAUGACGGCCUUCGGGUUGUAAACCUCUUUCAGCAGGGAAGAAGCGAAAGUGACGGUACCUGCAGAAGAAGCGCCGGCUAACUACGUGCCAGCAGCCGCGGUAAUACGUAGGGCGCAAGCGUUGUCCGGAAUUAUUGGGCGUAAAGAGCUCGUAGGCGGCUUGUCACGUCGGAUGUGAAAGCCCGGGGCUUAACCCCGGGUCUGCAUUCGAUACGGGCUAGCUAGAGUGUGGUAGGGGAGAUCGGAAUUCCUGGUGUAGCGGUGAAAUGCGCAGAUAUCAGGAGGAACACCGGUGGCGAAGGCGGAUCUCUGGGCCAUUACUGACGCUGAGGAGCGAAAGCGUGGGGAGCGAACAGGAUUAGAUACCCUGGUAGUCCACGCCGUAAACGUUGGGAACUAGGUGUUGGCGACAUUCCACGUCGUCGGUGCCGCAGC
This 751-nucleotide ribosomal RNA is filed under the name Streptomyces sp. Its description in RNAcentral is "bacterial SSU rRNA". It matches the Rfam family "Bacterial small subunit ribosomal RNA", at positions 89 to 852 of the family's 1533-position model. Lineage: Bacteria; Bacillati; Actinomycetota; Actinomycetes; Kitasatosporales; Streptomycetaceae. The record is from RNAcentral.